This 179-nucleotide ribosomal RNA is filed under the name uncultured bacterium. RNAcentral's name for it is "partial 16S ribosomal RNA". It matches the Rfam family "Bacterial small subunit ribosomal RNA", at positions 1322 to 1500 of the family's 1533-position model. The record is from RNAcentral.
GAAGCUGGAAUCGCUAGUAAUCGCGGAUCAGAAUGCCGCGGUGAAUACGUUCCCGGGUCUUGUACACACCGCCCGUCACACCAUGGGAGCCGGAAACGCCCGAAGCCAGUGGCCUGACCGUAAGGAGGGAGCUGUCGAAGGCGGGUCCGGUGACCGGGGUGAAGUCGUAACAAGGUACC